Molecule: ribosomal RNA, 495 nt
Filed under: uncultured bacterium
Lineage: Bacteria
Description: bacterial SSU rRNA
Rfam family: Bacterial small subunit ribosomal RNA
Source: RNAcentral
ACGAACGCUGGCGGCGUGCCUAAUACAUGCAAGUCGAGCGGACAGAUGGGAGCUUGCUCCCUGAAGUCAGCGGCGGACGGGUGAGUAACACGUGGGCAACCUGCCUGUAAGACUGGGAUAACUUCGGGAAACCGGAGCUAAUACCGGAUAACACCAAGGACCACAUGGUCCUUGGUUGAAAGAUGGCUUCGGCUAUCACUUACAGAUGGGCCCGCGGCGCAUUAGCUAGUUGGUGAGGUAACGGCUCACCAAGGCGACGAUGCGUAGCCGACCUGAGAGGGUGAUCGGCCACACUGGGACUGAGACACGGCCCAGACUCCUACGGGAGGCAGCAGUAGGGAAUCUUCCGCAAUGGACGAAAGUCUGACGGAGCAACGCCGCGUGAGCGAUGAAGGCCUUCGGGUCGUAAAGCUCUGUUGUUAGGGAAGAACAAGUACCAGAGUAACUGCUGGUACCUUGACGGUACCUAACCAGAAAGCCACGGCUAACUACGUG